This 73-nucleotide transfer RNA is filed under the name Felis catus (domestic cat). It matches the Rfam family "tRNA". Rfam says of the family: Transfer RNA (tRNA) molecules are approximately 80 nucleotides in length. Their secondary structure includes four short double-helical elements and three loops (D, anti-codon, and T loops). Further hydrogen bonds mediate the characteristic L-shaped molecular structure. tRNAs have two regions of fundamental functional importance: the anti-codon, which is responsible for specific mRNA codon recognition, and the 3' end, to which the tRNAs corresponding amino acid is attached (by aminoacyl-tRNA synthetases). tRNAs cope with the degeneracy of the genetic code in two manners: having more than one tRNA (with a specific anti-codon) for a particular amino acid; and 'wobble' base-pairing, i.e. permitting non-standard base-pairing at the 3rd anti-codon position. Lineage: Eukaryota; Metazoa; Chordata; Mammalia; Carnivora; Felidae. The record is from Rfam by way of RNAcentral.
GCCCGGCAGGCUCAGUCAACGGAGCAUAUGACUCUUGAUCUUAGGGUUGUGGGUUUGAGUCUCACGUUGAGUG